CAUUAGCAUGAGCCUCAAGCGCCUGCCCGAUCUUUUCUUGCUCUGUGCAGUCGAGGUUCCUUCAACCCUACCAAGCAUCACGCUCAAGUUCUUGCUUGGCGGCGACAGCUCAUUAAAUCACUCUGUGCUACACUUCAGCAAGAUGAACCUUCUUGGUGACGACGCAAGCUGGCUGGUUGAAGUCACCCUCAGUUGGGAAUUUUAAAUGGGAAUGGUCAUUUGAAUGAGCUUCAACUAACUAUCUAAUCUGAUUUAUAAGUUACUUCACUUCCAUUCCAUCCGAUUGCUGUCUGCAGAGAAGUUAAAACUAUGUCCCGAAGUUUGGUCUUAUCUCUGGCUCUUCUGUGCGGGGUCGAGGGGAACAAAGUACUCUGUACAUCGAGGCAGAAUACCUGCCAUUGCUGGACAAACUGUCAGGUGUGCUUUGAGAAACAGCCAAAUCUUCAACUUUGCAAUUUCUUGCACUUCCCAGGCACAGGCCAAAUCCAUCCAUAACAGCUUCCAUUGUUACAAUGCUUGGGACAACCGAGGCCCGAAAAAUUCUCAGAUUCCUCGUAAGUACUCUGUCCAAGCAAUGUGAUUCCUUUGUACCAGAUACAGGGAAGUGGAUUCGAAUAGACUGUGGAUCAGGUUACUACUAUCGAGAUGGAGAUGAAAUUCUUUGGCAGGUAUAUGAGAACUUCAUUCGAACUGGUAGAACAAACAGCUUUCCAACAGCAGCUACCUGAGUGGAAUUGAGCAAUUGAACCCGCUCUGUGUCUUCACGGAACAGAACAAGAACCACUACAUUUUACCUGUCACGACAAGCAGGAGGUACUUCAUCAAGGAGGCUUUCCAUUACGGCAACUAUGACGGACUAUCACAGGCCCCAACUUUCGAUCUCAAGUUUGACGGGAAUAAAUGGACAACUGUUUCAACAAACUUCACCAACAUAGUCCCUUAGUAUAGGAACAGUACGACCCUAGAGUUGAUACAAGGGUCAACUUGCCAAUCUUUCUGGAGUCAUCUGAUACAAGUGCGGGAAGUCUGCCACCAAUCAUUAGUGCAAUCAAAAUCUACAAUUCAACUUCGAGUAGGCUGGUCAGCAAAACAAACGUCAAAUGAUGACAUGGAAGGGAUACGAGCAACAAUAGGUGCCUUCAAGCAGCCUCAGGGGUGGAGCGGUGACCCAUGCCUCCCGAGCAAUACGACCUGGCAGUGGCUUACUUGCAAUGAGGGUGGUCUUUGCAGGAAUUACCAGGGAAUGGUCUCUACAGUCAUCUCAGACUUCAGCAAAAUGUGAGUCCUCGAGACAAUAGAUUUGGGAAACAACCACCUUAUUGGACCCAUCCCGAGUUUUCCGGAAACUGCCUGACCUUAGGCUACUAAUCCUCUCGAAUAACAACUUCACAGGCACCUUACCGAAGAGCGUAGUUAACAACAAUCAACUAACUUUCCAUGUUGAGGGGAACAUCAUGCAUCGGGACGAAUAUAUAUUGCUUUGAAGGACAAGUUGAAGUAAUGCUUGAGACAAAUCAGAUGAUGGUGUUCCUCACAGACAGUUGACGUUUAUAAAAUGGAUCUUCAUCUCAUGACCAAUGGAAAUGAAAAGGGGGAUUGAAAUGAGGAUUCCAAUGUCGCUAGUUCUGGUUUUCUUACCUCCCAAAGCCAUAUCUCAAGAUACAUCAGAAUGGAUUCGAAUAGGCUGUGGUCUGGCAGGAACUACCGUGACAGCGAGGGGAGUUUCUGGUGGGCAGACGAGAAUUUCAUCCGGGCUGGCACAAACAAGCUGCUAUCUAACAGCAGUAACAACAACCUAAGUGUUGCAGAGCAACUGAACUCACUCCGUGUCUUCACAGAGCAGAAUAAGAACUGUUACAUUUUACCUGUGAUAAUAAACAAGAGAUACUUCAUCAAAGCCGGGUUUCAUUAUGGGAACCAUGAUGGACUCUCCCAGCCGCCAAUGUCCUAAAUGGGCAGCUGUCUCGACCUCAACUGUGGGGCCGCAGCAUGAGGAGCUGAUCUAUACGAGUCCUAGAGAAAGUAUAAGUGUCAGCUUAGCUCGGACUUGGGAUGGGCAAUGUCCAUUUAUAUCAACGUUAGAGCUGUUGCCCUUACCCGAUGGAACGUUUGCAAAUAUGAGCAGUGAUAUGGCAUGGCGCACUCUUUACCGGAACAUGUAUGGUGCGACCAAUUCGAUUCUUGGUACAAGUACAAUUGGGGAUGGCAACCAAGGAACGAGUCUGAUUUUGUUGUGCGGAGCCGGACUGCAGAUUUCACUUUCAUCAUCUCCACAAGCGUGGAUUACCCACCUGAUCCAGCAUUGCUUCAUGCAAUUAUGGGUUUAUCAGCAGAAUUUGACUUCCCGCUCUAUUCCAAGGUUCACGUGGACUCUUGCUAUACUUUGAGUGUGGAGCCAACGCCUGUACAUGAUCUGUGAUUGCUCUACUUGUACAUCUCAGACAUAUACUUCUACACAUUCAGGCCACAGGACCAAAAUUGCACCUCUUUCGGGAUCCAAUUCAUAGAUGAUCCUGCUGUGUACCUGAUCCCAAAUAAAUCUGACCUGCCACCAAUUAUUAACGUGAUCAAGGUUUAUGAUUCAGUGUAUAUCCAUGGGUAUACAGCUACAUCACAAGAUGACGUGGAUGGAUUAAAAGCAAUCAUUGAUGGAUUUGAGCAGCUGCAAGGAUGGAGCGGGGAUCCAUGUCUUCCCUUAAACUCUAGCUGGCAAUGACUGACUUGCAGCGAAUUCUAGCCGACUCCGAAUGUGACUUCAGUCUAAGUUAGCCCAAACUUGUCAACACAUAACAUUGCCUACCAGAACCAUAACCCAAGUCAUGAGAUGUUUUCCUAUAGGAACCUUUCUGGGUAUGGUCUCCAAGGUCAUCUCCCAGACUUCAGCCAAAAGCGAGCCCUCGAGACAAUAGAUCUCGGGAACAAUAAGUUAAGCGGAUCAAUCCCUCAUUUUCUUGGAAGGCUGCCGAAUUUCAAGUUACUCAUUCUCUCGAAUAAUAACUUCUCCGGCACCAUACCAAGGAGGAUAACCAAGAACAAGAAAUUGAAACUUCUGUAAGCACUAAACAAGUUCACAUCUAGAUUUUGAUAUUACCAAUAACCAAUUAGUAGUCUCUGUUCAACCUUAUGUGUGUGUCUGAGCAUCCUGCAACAUUGAUGGAAACCAUGUACAUCGAGACAGACAGCCUCUCAUUGUUGGACUCACCGUCGGGCCAACUACCGCAGGACUUCUUCUGAUUAUCGGUGUUGCUUAUUGUACCCCACUUAAGCACAAUAUCAAAUGGCCCUCGAGAAGCGCCCGUAGUUCCUCAGUUGAAAUUGCCACAAACUGAGUUUUGUUUGUUUUCCAUGGUAUACAUAAUUUGAUACACUGCCAUAUCUUUUGAACAAUGUUUCAUCAAGACAGACGGCCUCUCAUUGUUGGACUCACUG
Non-coding RNA from Punica granatum (pomegranate), 3429 nucleotides. The record is from RefSeq and is a predicted model, not a curated record. Lineage: Eukaryota; Viridiplantae; Streptophyta; Magnoliopsida; Myrtales; Lythraceae.